RNAcentral lists this ribosomal RNA (543 nucleotides) under Triticum aestivum (bread wheat). RNAcentral describes it as "partial small subunit ribosomal RNA". Lineage: Eukaryota; Viridiplantae; Streptophyta; Magnoliopsida; Poales; Poaceae. The record is from RNAcentral.
AUGACCCCAUCAGCGACCCUACCAAGGAGCAGCAGAUUACUUCUCAUCCAAUCAGUUCUCAUGGUGAUGCCCAUCCACUCAAUGCUAGCAUUGGGGCUGCCACCCAAAACGCUAGCAGCAAUGACCAAAAUAUGUCGGAGUUUCCUGUGGUGCGGCAAGGCGGAGGCAGGAGGAGGUGCAUGCGCAGUCGCCUGGGAUGUCGUUUGCCAUCCAAAAUGGGCUGGCGGUCUCGGUGUGCUGGACUUGCGGUGGAUGAACGUAGCCCUGCAGUCAAAGUGGAUGUGGUUGCAAAGGACGGACACUUCCACGCCAUGGGCGGAAUUUGUCAUUCCCGUGCCCAAGGAGUCCAAACUUCUGUAUCAAGCGGCUGCGCGCGUGCACCUGGGCGAUGCCAAGAGUACUCUAUUCUGGGAGGACCGAUGGCUGUUGGGAUCCCGCAUUCAGGAGCUUGCGCCGAGUCUCUACGACUGCAUUCCGGCGCGUGUGAGGAAAUCUCGAACCGUCUGCGAGGCCAUGGCCUUCGGUGCCUGGGCACGGGACGUC